AGAGUUUGAUCCUGGCUCAGAGUGAACGCUGGCGGCGUGCCUAAUACAUGCAAGUCGAACGAUGAAGCUUCUAGCUUGCUAGAGUGCUGAUUAGUGGCGCACGGGUGAGUAACGCAUAGGUCAUGUGCCUCUUAGUUUGGGAUAGCCAUUGGAAACGAUGAUUAAUACCAGAUACUCCCUACGGGGGAAAGAUUUAUCGCUAAGAGAUCAGCCUAUGUCCUAUCAGCUUGUUGGUAAGGUAAUGGCUUACCAAGGCUAUGACGGGUAUCCGGCCUGAGAGGGUGAACGGACACACUGGAACUGAGACACGGUCCAGACUCCUACGGGAGGCAGCAGUAGGGAAUAUUGCUCAAUGGGGGAAACCCUGAAGCAGCAACGCCGCGUGGAGGAUGAAGGUUUUAGGAUUGUAAACUCCUUUUGUUAGAGAAGAUAAUGACGGUAUCUAACGAAUAAGCACCGGCUAACUCCGUGCCAGCAGCCGCGGUAAUACGGAGGGUGCAAGCGUUACUCGGAAUCACUGGGCGUAAAGAGCGCGUAGGCGGGAUAGUCAGUCAGGUGUGAAAUCCUAUGGCUUAACCAUAGAACUGCAUUUGAAACUACUAUUCUAGAGUGUGGGAGAGGUAGGUGGAAUUCUUGGUGUAGGGGUAAAAUCCGUAGAGAUCAAGAGGAAUACUCAUUGCGAAGGCGACCUGCUGGAACAUUACUGACGCUGAUUGCGCGAAAGCGUGGGGAGCAAACAGGAUUAGAUACCCUGGUAGUCCACGCCCUAAACGAUGGAUGCUAGUUGUUGGAGGGCUUAGUCUCUCCAGUAAUGUAGCUAACGCAUUAAGCAUCCCGCCUGGGGAGUACGGUCGCAAGAUUAAAACUCAAAGGAAUAGACGGGGACCCGCACAAGCGGUGGAGCAUGUGGUUUAAUUCGAAGAUACACGAAGAACCUUACCUAGGCUUGACAUUGAGAGAAUCCGCUAGAAAUAGUGGAGUGUCUGGCUUGCUAGACCUUGAAAACAGGUGCUGCACGGCUGUCGUCAGCUCGUGUCGUGAGAUGUUGGGUUAAGUCCCGCAACGAGCGCAACCCCCUUUCUUAGUUGCUAACAGGUCAUGCUGAGAACUCUAAGGAUACUGCCUCCGUAAGGAGGAGGAAGGUGGGGACGACGUCAAGUCAUCAUGGCCCUUACGCCUAGGGCUACACACGUGCUACAAUGGGGUGCACAAAGAGAAGCAAUACUGCGAAGUGGAGCCAAUCUUCAAAACGCCUCUCAGUUCGGAUUGUAGGCUGCAACUCGCCUGCAUGAAGCUGGAAUCGCUAGUAAUCGCAAAUCAGCCAUGUUGCGGUGAAUACGUUCCCGGGUCUUGUACUCACCGCCCGUCACACCAUGGGAGUUGUGUUUGCCUUAAGUCAGGAUGCUAAAUUGGCUACUGCCCACGGCACACACAGCGACUGGGGUGAAGUCGUAACAAGGUAACCGUAGGUGAACCUGCGGUUG
This 1484-nucleotide ribosomal RNA is filed under the name Helicobacter pylori. RNAcentral's name for it is "bacterial SSU rRNA". It matches the Rfam family "Bacterial small subunit ribosomal RNA". The record is from RNAcentral. Lineage: Bacteria; Pseudomonadati; Campylobacterota; Epsilonproteobacteria; Campylobacterales; Helicobacteraceae.